Balaenoptera acutorostrata (minke whale) is the source of this 584-nucleotide long non-coding RNA. RefSeq lists it as uncharacterized. Lineage: Eukaryota; Metazoa; Chordata; Mammalia; Artiodactyla; Balaenopteridae. The record is from RefSeq and is a predicted model, not a curated record. The transcript is spliced from 7 exons.
CGGCCGCCAUUUUUAGAGCGUGAGGUGCCCAGUGAUCUGACUGACGAGUCCGGGGCGUAGUGCGACUCCAACCGCUCAGGGUCCUGCGACGUACAUUAACCACAGCCGCACUUUGGCCGUCACCACCCAACACACCGACGACUGCAUUGUACUCAUUACAACAGUCUAGGGUGAUGGCACCUCCCCAUUCCAAAGAGUCUUAACAAGAUGUCCUCAUAAAACUCGACCUAGUGGGGAUAACUGAAAAGAAAAUAAGAGAAUGGAUGAAACAGGCACAGAGAGGUGAAGUCACCCAGCUGUCACAAGUGGUCCCAAGGCUUCCAGUUUCUGAUUCCAUCAAGAGUGUGGCCAGAGAGAGAGGAGAGGGGAGCAAAGACUCCUGGGGCCUGCCUACAGAUCUGCGCUGUCCCACAUGGCAACCACUAGCCACAGCUACGUGAAAUGUGACUAGUCCGAAUUGAGUUGUGCUGUGAAACACACAUGGUAUUUUGAAGACCUAGCAUGAAAAAAAUAUGUAUUGAUUACAUGUUGAAAUGAUGUUUUUUGAUAUAUUGGUUUAAAUUAAAAUGCCUUAAUAAAAUUAC